UGAAGGAGGAGCUUGCUUCUCUGGAUGAGUUGCGAACGGGUGAGUAACGCGUAGGUAACCUGCCUGGUAGCGGGGGAUAACUAUUGGAAACGAUAGCUAAUACCGCAUAAUAGUAGAUGUUGCAUGACAUUUGCUUAAAAGGUGCAAUUGCAUCACUACCAGAUGGACCUGCGUUGUAUUAGCUAGUUGGUGGGGUAACGGCUCACCAAGGCGACGAUACAUAGCCGACCUGAGAGGGUGAUCGGCCACACUGGGACUGAGACACGGCCCAGACUCCUACGGGAGGCAGCAGUAGGGAAUCUUCGGCAAUGGACGGAAGUCUGACCGAGCAACGCCGCGUGAGUGAAGAAGGUUUUCGGAUCGUAAAGCUCUGUUGUAAGAGAAGAACGAGUGUGAGAGUGGAAAGUUCACACUGUGACGGUAUCUUACCAGAAAGGGACGGCUAACUACGCGCCAGCAGCCGCGGUAAUACGUAGGUCCCGAGCGUUGUCCGGAUUUAUUGGGCGUAAAGCGAGCGCAGGCGGUUAGAUAAGUCUGAAGUUAAAGGCUGUGGCUUAACCAUAGUACGCUUUGGAAACUGUUUAACUUGAGUGCAAGAGGGGAGAGUGGAAUUCCAUGUGUAGCGGUGAAAUGCGUAGAUAUAUGGAGGAACACCGGUGGCGAAAGCGGCUCUCUGGCU
RNAcentral lists this ribosomal RNA (679 nucleotides) under uncultured Bacilli bacterium. Its description in RNAcentral is "bacterial SSU rRNA". It matches the Rfam family "Bacterial small subunit ribosomal RNA", at positions 68 to 734 of the family's 1533-position model. Lineage: Bacteria; Bacillati; Bacillota; Bacilli. The record is from RNAcentral.